UUAUAAUAAAUCAUCAAAUUACGUAUAACAGCUUUGAUAAGGAAAGCGAGUCUCUACCCUAAACCGUAAAUUUAGGACUACGUGCAAACCAAAAAAACCA
Molecule: non-coding RNA, 100 nt
Filed under: Candidatus Izimoplasma sp. HR1
Lineage: Bacteria; Bacillati; Mycoplasmatota; Mollicutes; Candidatus Izemoplasmatales; Candidatus Izemoplasmataceae
Description: Candidatus Izimaplasma sp. HR1 Purine riboswitch aptamer
Rfam family: Purine riboswitch aptamer
About the family: Riboswitches are metabolite binding domains within certain messenger RNAs that serve as precision sensors for their corresponding targets. Allosteric rearrangement of mRNA structure is mediated by ligand binding, and this results in modulation of gene expression. A class of riboswitches that selectively recognises guanine and becomes saturated at concentrations as low as 5 nM.
Source: Rfam by way of RNAcentral